RNAcentral lists this unclassified non-coding RNA (1358 nucleotides) under Drosophila ananassae. RNAcentral describes it as "GF12289". Lineage: Eukaryota; Metazoa; Arthropoda; Insecta; Diptera; Drosophilidae. The record is from RNAcentral.
CAGCUGUCAGUAAUGAAAAUUUAACCAAGUUGGGCAAACACAAAUAUGAAAUUAUCCGUUUUGUUUAUCACGAUGCAGUUGCUAACGCUGCUGCGGGUCGUAGUCCUUGCGACGGAGGUUGCCAGUACAUUGCAGGAGGUGCUUGCGAGUGACCAGCAGGACAUUCCCCCCUACACCACAGCAUGCAUACAGAAAUGCAUCGGCAAUAAUUUCCCCACAUUCGAGGAUCUGAGGGCAGCGGAGUGUUCGCUCUUCAUGCGCGAUUUCGACUGCACCCUCUACUGCACGUUCAAUGGAAAAGGAUAAGGCUUGUUUUGAAGGAAAAUGCCAGGACCAAAGUGGAUGUGGCAGCGAGUGCAAAUAUUUGCCAUUUACCCAGUUGCCAAAAACUGUUGGCCAAAAAAAAAACAAGUGCUACAUGGAGACAGUGGCGGCUGAAGGACUAUUAAUCAUUGCCACAUGCUGCCAGCCUGACCUUUGCGAUGACAUGCGAGUAAAUUAAUCUAACUGGCCAGACUGCGAAUGCGAAUGUGAAGGUCGUGUAUUGCAAUUAAACAUGCCAGCCGAUGCCAGGCGAUGAUGAAGGGAAUUUCUCAGCAUCUACACCCGUUUAUACCUAGCUGCCACCUUGCCACCUUGCCACCUCACCACCUUGGUGGCCAGACGCAUAAAUUUCAAUUUGCCACACCGUCUGGCUGCUGAUGGUGCUGCUGUUACUGCUGCUGCUCUUCUGGGUCUAUGCAUUUAAAUUGAUGACGAUGGUGCUGCAUAUGCGAAAAGUUGUUCGCGCCACGCCCCAAUGCGCAAUUAGCGGACCAUGGUCUAUAAAUUAUUCAACCUCCCCGUGGGUACCCACACUAGUUCCCUACGGAAAUUAUUGCCCAGAAGGGCGGACGUCCAAAAACUACAACGGACGUCGGCUAAAAUAUGCAUAGUAUGUUGCCAAGGACAUCGAGGACGACAAUUGAAUGCCAGCGAUUGAUGGGCCGCGAUUGAAAUGCAAUGCGUCAAGCAGGAUAACCAGAUAGUCGAAGAUGCGAGACCAUUUGUCAACACGUGCCUGCCAGGACAAUCACGCGUUCAACUCUGCCGUUUCCGGGGUGCAUCGGCAAUCAAAUUAACUCCGGCGUACAUGGCGUAUGCGCGAUAUUGUUUGGCGCGGUAAGCCCGGCUCAGUUAUAAAUAUCGGUGUGAAUGGCUAUUUAUUGGCACUGGCUUCAGACCAACAACCAAUAUGGCAAAUCUGGUAAAGUUUCAUUAAUUUUAAACAUACCAUUUCCACAAAAGAGUGCCCCUGCAAAUGUCAUCGCCUGUUUCGAAGUUCGAACUAAUAAAUCCUUUUUGGCUUUUGUCUUGCA